UCCUUUGGUGCCAAAUUUCAUACAGAUUUUUCAUCACUUCAUAACAUUAAAUUAACUUAUUUACAAAUUGAUUAUAAAUCAGAAACAUCUAAAUAUUUUGGUAAAGCCAAUUUUUCUCAUUUCUUUUGAUACGUUAUUACAAACUCUCCCUUUUUUGGAUGGAUACAGAAAGUAUCCCUACCUUAUCAUAAUCUCUUUAUAACAAGUAAUAUAAAGCAAAUGAAAUCAACAAUAAUGCUAAAAUUGUAGACUGCAGUGCUAAUAGAAAACUUACUGAACUUUUUUUUAGUAUAAUCAGUCUAUAUUUCAUGUAAAUUCAUGUGUUUAAAAGAUAUUAUUGUUUAGAGUUUGCCUUUUGUCUCACCUAUAAUGAAAUUUAUUGAUAAGCAAUGUCACUAUGGUUACACCAUUUCCUCUCUUUAUCAUAGAUCCAUCAGUAUUUUUUUGGUGUAGCAUACAAUGUUACAAAGACCAAUAUGUUACAUGGCAUGAUACAGCACUGUCCUUAUUACCUAGUACAUGCUGUGUUAGACUGAGGAAGUUCAGAUAUAUUUAAUAGAAACCAUACAUGACAGGGCAACACUAUUUAGUUUCUUUUUUUAUAAUUUGUAUAAUUAGACAGCAUCUAACAAUACAGGGUUAUAAAAAUGAAUCAUAUGAAAUCCAAAAUAGGGUCCUAUGGCUAAACAGGCACCAAAGACAGAAUAAAAUAUGACCUUGACUUAUUUAAAGUUUUUUCCUGUUCAUUACUUCAAAUAAUACAAUUGUGUAUAGGAUUUUUGGACAUCUUUACAACAAAGUCACUUAAUAAAAAUGAAAACAAAAUCACUCUUUUGGAAAUGUAUUUUAACAAGAUAUGACUUGAAGAAUUGGUACACCACUUCCUGAAGAUGACAUAUACAUGGUGUCAAAUAAACAUUUGAACUUGGACUAAGACUCGGUAAAAUCAAAUAUCUGCUGGCAGACCCAAGUGUAAUGUUUUUGUGUAACAAAACAAAAAAUGUAUGUUUAGUUGUAUUGAAUAUUUUUUUUUACCCUUUUACAAGCAAUCAAAAUGUAUUAUGGUUGGAGAUGAUUUUUUUCUACUUAAUAUAUCACUAUCAGUCUAAGAUCAGCAACUUCUAAAACAUUGAGUUUCACCAUUAACCAUAUAAUGCAAAACAAUUGACAUUUGAAUUAAAUUAUAUCCUUUUGGCAUAUUCUUAUUCAUAUGUUACAGUAAUGAUUUGACUUAAAAUAUGAUUUAUUGACAACAAUUUUAUGUUUAUUUUGAAUAAGAAACAUUGCUUUAUAAUUGGUUAUCUGAAGUAGCAAAACACAUUGAAUUUCAUAAAUUGAAAGAGACUGUAGUCAUCAGGGCUUUGAAAGCCAUUAUAUUUCUGAGAGAUAGAGAUUUUUUUGUAAAUAACAUUGAGUUUACUAGAUUUGCAUUGUUGUAAAAUUGUGUGCAGUUUAAUACAAACAACUGAGGAUUUUGUGCAUUUUUAUCUUUCUUUGUUUUGUCUCAUAAAUAUUAAUAUGCAAUUGUAUUUAUUAUCUGUCUCUGUUUAAAUAAUCUGUUUCAUUUAGGACAUGUGUUUUAUUUUAAUCUGUUAGAUUUGAAGAUGAAUUAGUACUAAGGUUGUUCUAUUUAGGCAUAUUGGAUACUGAAGGAUGUUCCAUUUUGAUAUAUUGGAUACUAAAGGCUGUUCCAAUUAGAUAUAUAGGAUAUUGAACUAGGUGGGUAAUGCAUUUCACAUACUCUAAAAAAAAUAAUUGGGUUUAUAUUGGCAUAUUUUUUCCUGUAACAGUUAGUAACAGAUAUAGGGAAACAGUUUCAAAAAACCACAUUACUGUAAUUAACUAAGCAUUUUAACAAAAUAGGGUAUUGAAAUCAUAGAAAGAACGGAUAUGUGAAAGACCACACCAAAUAAAACAGUUAAGAGAACCUGACAUUUAAGUUACAGGUAAAAUAUCUCAACAGGUAGAUAUUAGGGUAAUAGAAGCACAUGCUGUUUUAAUGAUAGAAUAACUUAUAAGUCAUGUCCCAUCUUUUUCCUUACAUUGAGAAGAGUUAGUCUUAUGUACUAUGAGGAAAUUUGAAAAAAGUUUUGUGUGCUCAAGAUGUGUGUUAUUUUUACAGUUAUUUGCUAUUAAGGAAACUUCUGAUAUGUGUACUGAAUGAAUUUCACCUCUUUCUCCUGAGGUCUGAAUAUUUAUCAAAAUUGCUACUCAGUUCAUCUGUAUUAAUAGUCCCAUUUAUGCAUUAUUUUAUGCAAAGUUCUCUAUCAAAUAUCUUGAUGUGCCAUGUGAUUGUGUAAAUGUUCAAGACGAAUAAUGGUAUUUUCAUUAAGAACACUUUGUGCCAAUUUAAGUCUUAAAUUACAUUCUAUAUUUUCCUGCAUCUGUUGUCCUCUAUGCACAGAUUUAUCACGAUUAACAUUAAGCAAUAUAUUACAUUCUGCUCAAAAUGGUGCUACAUACUGUGUUGAUGGUUUCAUUGUUACUUUCAGAUGAAUAGCAUUUUUGUAAGAUUUUCUUCGGCAUUCAGGUUAUUUGAAGUGCAUAUAAGGUUUUUGUGUUCUAACUUUGAAUACUAUAUCCCUUAUUUUUAAGUUAAGACUUGUAAGUGAAAAAUGAAAAAUAGUACCUGAAAUUUCGAGACAACAUUUUAUGAAACUGAAUUAUUAAGAUAUAAUCAACAAUUUUUAGUAAAUGAGUACUUAUACUGUAGAUGAAGUUACUUCUAUGUCUAUUGGAACAGCCUUUAUAGAUUUUGUCAGUUUGUUUAUAGUGUUUACAUUGUAAUUUUAAAUAGGUUAUUGAUACUUAUGUACUUGUGAUCAUUACAACUUAUUAUGGGGAUGCUUUGUAUUUGAUCUCUCAAAUACUAGAUAUACUAUUUUGAAACUAUAAGUGAUAAUGUCUGGUUUGCGUAACUGAUAUCCCUUGAUUUAAGUUGUUUAAGAUAUACAUUAUGUUUAAAGAAUGAAUAGGACAUUAUUUUCCAAUGAGUGGUAAAGACAGAUAAAGUUCAAAGUUUAUACAAUGUUUUACUGUAUUUAUAAGGAAUAAAAACAAGUUUCUCAGAUUUGGCUAUACUUUUUGGAACUUUUGGAUUAUAGCUCUUCAUCUUUUAUAUAAGCUUUGGAUUUUACAUAUUUUGGCCACGAGCAUCACUGAAGAGACAUGUAUUGUCGAAAUGCGCAUCUGGUGCAGAAAAAUUGGUACCGUUAAUGUUAUUAUGAGUAACAAACAACACAAUGUUUGCUUGAAAAAUCAGUCAUUCAUUACAGUUAUUGUUUUUUUUUUGUGGUUUCACAUCUGUAGACAUCAGUUUGGACACAAAAUAUAAAAUGUAAGCCAUUCGAUUUAUAUAACUGUAAAAACGUGUUUUCUGUUUCUAUUGGAUUUUCAGACAACAAUAUAUUGAUGAUGUACAGCAUCUUAUCUUAAUUAUCUGAGAUUGAAGUAUUAACUUAUGCAAGUUUCUCCAAUUUAUAUAGUCCUUCCAAAGUUUCAACUCUAAAGAUAUUUACAGAAAAGGGAUAAUGUCAAAUUAUAGCUUUAUGGUAAUGUGAUUGUAAUUAGUUGUGUGUUUUAGCUUGUUACAUGAAAUCCUUGGCUUUCAUCUAACAUUUUCAUUUUUAGGAUUUUAAAGUAAUAAAAAAAAUGAUAACAUUA
Molecule: long non-coding RNA, 3663 nt
Filed under: Mytilus galloprovincialis (Mediterranean mussel)
Lineage: Eukaryota; Metazoa; Mollusca; Bivalvia; Mytilida; Mytilidae
Source: RNAcentral